CUUAGCUGUACAGAUAGGAGUCUAUUAAUUUGGACUCUUUGAAAGGGAAUUAAAUUAAAACAAAGCCCUCAAUUCCUGUAUCCAGGAGCCCUUCCUCACUUUAUCUGCCUCCCUCCCUCCAUUAUGGAUUUUACCCACUUUCCUCACUCUUGUACUCUGCAGAAGAUGCCAUAUUUGAUUGACUACUCUGGAAAAUGUGGAGGGGAAGACAUACCUCAGACUUGGUUUGCUCUUCAUGGAGGUGAGGCUCGAAGUCCCAAGGGAAUAUUUGAGAUACUUUUAGCCUGCUAAGAGUGUUUAGUUCAGGGGGUCAGUGCAGGGAUGUUACAUUGUACCUUCCUGAAGUCAGGAGGAAUGUUACUACUAAAAUCAGAGCUAUUUUCCCUGUUUUCUACUUUCCGGAUCCAUUAGCCCACUGGACACAAAGACAGAAUUUGCUCACUCCUCUUCCCAGAGACUUUCAAGACUGGCCAUGGAUUUCUGGUGGAGCUGUGCAGACAUAUUCCAUUCUCUACUGUCAUACACUGCCAUACAAUCCACUCUCCAAAAGAAGAUUUAUGGACCUUUGUUUUGUUGUUGUUAUUCUUUGCUUCCUUUAUUUUUCUUUCUUAUUUAUAUAAAGAAUUAAAUAUUUAUGUAUGUAUAGUUCUAGACAUCUAAAGUUUGAAUUCCAUCUAACAUCUUUCAGAAGUGUAUGUUGAUGUCCUCAGUCGAAAUACCUCAACAUUCAACCUUUUGUCCUUGAGCUUCAUAGCCAAAACAAGAAAUAUUUAAGACUAGCUAGGACAAAAAUUAGAAUUCUGGAGGACAAAAUGCAGUUUUAAGAUUCAAAAUUAUUCUUUAAUUAGGUUUUGUCUGAUGAGUAAGUGGAGAUAAAAGGACAGAGAGGUUUCUUUUCAGUACUUUCCAACUGAAAUGUUGUGACAGUUCAGGCUCCAAUUUGACAUGCUUAACAAAAUGCUUGAGUUGAUCCAGAAAAAUAAUUUGACUUUUUUUUUUUUUUUCCCAAACUAUGUGGGCAAAAAGAUGCUUUGGAC
This 1037-nucleotide long non-coding RNA is filed under the name Coturnix japonica (Japanese quail). Its description in RNAcentral is "lncRNA (ENSCJPG00005010501.1)". The record is from RNAcentral. Lineage: Eukaryota; Metazoa; Chordata; Aves; Galliformes; Phasianidae.